Molecule: long non-coding RNA, 1044 nt
Organism: Zea mays
Lineage: Eukaryota; Viridiplantae; Streptophyta; Magnoliopsida; Poales; Poaceae
Exons: 3
Source: RefSeq, a predicted model, not a curated record
CCCUAGCCGCCACCAGUCGUACUCCCUGCCUUCUUCCUCGCUGCUCACGGCAGCAGCAGCCAGCGCAGGGAGCAAGGCCAGCCCCCAUGGCGCCCUUCCUCCUCGGCUCAAAUGGUGUGGCCGAGCAGCAGCCCCCCCAGCUCUCCUCUCUCCAUGGCGCAGGAAGCUUUCCCUCUUCUCCGCGGCGUCCGGCAGCAGGGAACCCUUCUCCCCUACGUGCAGGAACUUCUCCAUGGCCGGCGAGCAGCCAAGUAGCCGAGCUCCUCUUCUCCAUGGGCGCGGGUACCUCUGCUCCAACCAUGGCGCCUCCCUCUCCCUGCUGUACAUGGCGUGCAGCAAGCUGGGAGCUCAGCUCCUUCUCCCAUGGCACCUAGCAGCAGCGCCCUUUUUUUUCCCAGCCGGCUCCCCCUUCCUCCCUGCGCCCAACUCUUCUUUCUACUGCACAGCAGCACCCUCCAUGGGCGCGAGCAGCAUGGAUGCUGAGCCCCUUUCUUCUACCUCUGGCCGACGCCCUGCGCAGCGUCUCCCUCCCCCAAGCCCAUGCGUGCGCACAGCAGCGGAUCCCCGACGCCCUCCCCUGCUCCUCCUCUCUUCCCCAUAAAACAGCAGCCGCAACGAGCUCGCCGUCGUCCAUGGCGAGCAGCCUCCCCCGAUGCGCAGGAGCUCUUCUUCCUCCCAAGGACAGCGCCCCUAUUUCCCUCUCCCGGCAGCGCAGCGCCUCGCAACCUAGUUUUCCCUGCAGCCCCACAACAGCGACACGUCGUAGGUGUUCGACAAAAUGCGCAGCAAGCCACUCGCUGCGCAGCCUCAUUCGCGAUGCAGUCGAAACCCGUGCUAGUGGUCAACGCCGCGCUUUGCGCCUUGUCCGUUCGGCGAAAUGUCGAGCCAUGUGGACAACCCCCUGUGACUAGUCCCAUUUCGCUCAGGACCGAGAGAUGGUGAUCGUGCAUGUGAUAUGGUGCCAACCACAGGAUGGCGUUGGUGGACGACCCAAGGAAGGAUGGACUUAACCACUGGAUGCUCGCCAAGCGAGUACCCACCCCA